Molecule: unclassified non-coding RNA, 253 nt
Filed under: uncultured Rhodobacterales bacterium
Lineage: Bacteria; Pseudomonadati; Pseudomonadota; Alphaproteobacteria; Rhodobacterales
Description: contains 16S-23S intergenic spacer region
Rfam family: Bacterial small subunit ribosomal RNA
Source: RNAcentral
UACGGAGGGGACUAGCGUUGUUCGGAAUUACUGGGCGUAAAGCGCACGUAGGCGGAUUGGCAAGUUAGGGGUGAAAUCCCGGGGCUCAACCCCGGAACUGCCCUUAAAACUGCCAGUCUUGAGUUCGAGAGAGGUGAGUGGAAUUCCGAGUGUAGAGGUGAAAUUCGUAGAUAUUCGGAGGAACACCAGUGGCGAAGGCGGCUCACUGGCUCGAUACUGACGCUGAGGUGCGAAAGCGUGGGGAGCAAACAGG